Molecule: ribosomal RNA, 882 nt
Filed under: Lacticaseibacillus paracasei
Lineage: Bacteria; Bacillati; Bacillota; Bacilli; Lactobacillales; Lactobacillaceae
Description: bacterial SSU rRNA
Rfam family: Bacterial small subunit ribosomal RNA
Source: RNAcentral
AUGAACGCUGGCGGCGUGCCUAAUACAUGCAAGUCGAACGAGUUCUCGUUGAUGAUCGGUGCUUGCACCGAGAUUCAACAUGGAACGAGUGGCGGACGGGUGAGUAACACGUGGGUAACCUGCCCUUAAGUGGGGGAUAACAUUUGGAAACAGAUGCUAAUACCGCAUAGAUCCAAGAACCGCAUGGUUCUUGGCUGAAAGAUGGCGUAAGCUAUCGCUUUUGGAUGGACCCGCGGCGUAUUAGCUAGUUGGUGAGGUAAUGGCUCACCAAGGCGAUGAUACGUAGCCGAACUGAGAGGUUGAUCGGCCACAUUGGGACUGAGACACGGCCCAAACUCCUACGGGAGGCAGCAGUAGGGAAUCUUCCACAAUGGACGCAAGUCUGAUGGAGCAACGCCGCGUGAGUGAAGAAGGCUUUCGGGUCGUAAAACUCUGUUGUUGGAGAAGAAUGGUCGGCAGAGUAACUGUUGUCGGCGUGACGGUAUCCAACCAGAAAGCCACGGCUAACUACGUGCCAGCAGCCGCGGUAAUACGUAGGUGGCAAGCGUUAUCCGGAUUUAUUGGGCGUAAAGCGAGCGCAGGCGGUUUUUUAAGUCUGAUGUGAAAGCCCUCGGCUUAACCGAGGAAGCGCAUCGGAAACUGGGAAACUUGAGUGCAGAAGAGGACAGUGGAACUCCAUGUGUAGCGGUGAAAUGCGUAGAUAUAUGGAAGAACACCAGUGGCGAAGGCGGCUGUCUGGUCUGUAACUGACGCUGAGGCUCGAAAGCAUGGGUAGCGAACAGGAUUAGAUACCCUGGUAGUCCAUGCCGUAAACGAUGAAUGCUAGGUGUUGGAGGGUUUCCGCCCUUCAGUGCCGCAGCUAACGCAUUAAGCAUCCUCUUG